AGAUGGCAACCACUAAAUAAGACAGGAUGACCUCACCGGGAGUAUUGAGGAGGCGGGACCUCCUGCAGCGGUCAGCUGGCGAAGGCAACCCUGGAAAGAGGCAAAGGGGUUCCGGCAGUCCUCCCGCCCGUCGUCGUCCGCCGGACAACCUUCAACGAGACCACAUCGAGAGUACCACCCCGCAUGAGGGGCGCCGACGUUCGCCUACCGCCGAAGAAGAGGUCCCUCUCGACGGCCACGGUGAAGGAAGGACUGGCCUGAGCCACGUCCACGUUGUCCACGCAGAUACUCAGGUGCCCUCGUCUGGACUUCAGAUCCACCGAAUGCCACAGACCGUCAUCCAGACCGGAGCCUGACCGGUCCCAGUUAAGUGCUCAAUGCAUCACUCUCCAUUUUGUCCGCUUUACAUCAUGCUCUGUACUGACCUGCCUUGAGCUCCAGCAGUACCCUGUCAGCCUUCCGUACCAGCAGCCUGAGCCGGGCGUCGCUCAGGUACACCCAGACAACACCGCCCCGCUGAGGGAGCCGGAAGGUCAGCAGCAGCCCGUUUCGGUUCCACGUCCUGAAAUGGAGUCCAACGGAAACUCUCUCUGCAGGCACUGGGGUUGCGACCCCAGGCAACUGGAGGAAGCCUCGGGGCCCGGGAAAGGUGGCGGCCACGGCUGGCGUCUGGUGGGAGCAUGUGAAGGUGACAUUGCCCUGGGAGACGUCAAAUAAAAUGGAACGCCGUCGUGAACUGACCGACACGGUAGCUCGGCGGUCGCCUUGUCUGGCCAUCGCAAUCAGGUUAUGUCGGUUGUACGCCAAGUUCUCCAGGCACCCUUGGAAUCUCUCGUCAGGAAUGUCGAGAAAUCCCC
Syngnathus acus (greater pipefish) is the source of this 857-nucleotide long non-coding RNA. RefSeq lists it as uncharacterized. The record is from RefSeq and is a predicted model, not a curated record. The transcript has 3 exons. NCBI's taxonomy places the organism in Eukaryota, Metazoa, Chordata, Actinopteri, Syngnathiformes, Syngnathidae.